RNAcentral lists this unclassified non-coding RNA (198 nucleotides) under soil metagenome. Its description in RNAcentral is "partial contains 5.8S ribosomal RNA, internal transcribed spacer 2, and large subunit ribosomal RNA". The record is from RNAcentral.
AAGACUAUAGACCUGCGGAGUACCUGCGGAGGGAUCAUUAAUGAAUUUUAGGACGUUCUUUUUAGAAGUCCGACCAUUUCAUUUUCUUACACUGUGCACACACUUCUUUUCACACACACUUUUAACACAUUAGUAUAAGAAUGUAAUAGUCUCUUAGUUGAGUAUAAACAAAAAUAAAACUUUCAGCAACGGAUCUCU